RNAcentral lists this unclassified non-coding RNA (1056 nucleotides) under Hevea brasiliensis (rubber tree). Lineage: Eukaryota; Viridiplantae; Streptophyta; Magnoliopsida; Malpighiales; Euphorbiaceae. The record is from RNAcentral.
GGAGGAUUUGAGCUACUAGAGCAGCAGGACAAUUUCUCUUCCCUCACAGAACCUGCGCUUGAAAAAAUGAAGGUCUUUCUUGUGCUCUUAAGAGUUUUUUUUGUAACUCUCAAUUUUGCUAAUCUGCUUUCUCUUUCCCUCUCUUCACAGUUCAAUAUUGCAAAUCCUACCACUGGGUGUCAGAAGAAGCUCGAGAUAGAUGAUGACCAGAAACUGUAUGGAUCUUUUUCUUUGAUAUAUUAUUGUUGUUAUUUGCACUUGUAGAUGGUGGAAGUAAAAUAGUUAUGCGAUCAAGAACGUUUAUAAGUUAUGUAUCUGGAAUGGAAUGGGUUUAAAUAUGUUAUUUGGAUUCAGGAAAAGAGCUAGCUUUGUUUAAUUCAGCCUAAAUGCUUACAUUGUUUAGUUUAAUUGUAUGAGCCGAUUGAAUGUAGUAGAAUUGUAUAAUGGGGUUGUUGGUUCUUGUAUUUUCCAAAUUGUAGUCUUAACAUGGUUACUGGAAUGGUAAAACUUCAAUAUGUAUUAUGUGCCUCUGCUCUUGUUAAUUAUAUAAAAGUUAUCAGUUGGACUUCCAUUUUUAUUGCUUUGUACACUUAGAAGAAACAAAGGGAAAGAACAUAAUCAACAAGCUUGUCAAUUAUUAGGAAAUUAGUGUAUGCAUUGUGUCCAAUGUGAUUUGUAACCUAAAGGAACAUGACAGAUGAUUUCUACCCUUGUGCUUCUGAGGUUAUCAGGUUAAUUUGUGCUAGCUUAGUAAUUAAUGAGACGUUCAAGAGAAUAUUGUUUUGGUGGAUUUCAAACAUUUCAAUUCUCUGUCUAUGCUAAAAUUCAUUCUUGAAGUGCAUCUAUGGUAUAUUUUGUAUUCUGACUUGGCUAAUCUUACCUAAAAGCAAAAAAAUAAGAAAAUGGCGCCAACUUCUAUAACAAACAAUAAGAAAAUGGCUGUAACUUCUAUAACGUAUUAUUUUGAGUAACUUCAUUAUGUACUAAAAGCAAUGGUAGUCAUAAAUCUUAGCAGCCUAGUUCAGUGUAACUCAUGUUUAAGGUUUUUUAUGACAG